This 394-nucleotide ribosomal RNA is filed under the name Streptococcus sp. RNAcentral describes it as "bacterial SSU rRNA". It matches the Rfam family "Bacterial small subunit ribosomal RNA", at positions 384 to 774 of the family's 1533-position model. The record is from RNAcentral. Lineage: Bacteria; Bacillati; Bacillota; Bacilli; Lactobacillales; Streptococcaceae.
UGACGAGCACGCCGCGUGAGUGAGAGGUUUUCGGAUCGUAAAGCUCUGUUGUAAGAGAAGAACGAGUGUGAGAGUGGAAAGUUCACACUGUGACGGUAUCUUACCAGAAAGGGACGGCUAACUACGUGCCAGCAGCCGCGGUAAUACGUAGGUCCCGAGCGUUGUCCGGAUUUAUUGGGCGUAAAGCGAGCGCAGGCGGUUAGAUAAGUCUGAAGUUAAAGGCUGUGGCUUAACCAUAGUACGCUUUGGAAACUGUUUAACUUGAGUGCAGAAGGGGAGAGUGGAAUUCCAUGUGUAGCGGUGAAAUGCGUAGAUAUAUGGAGGAACACCGGUGGCGAAAGCGGCUCUCUGGUCUGUAACUGACGCUGAGGCUCGAAAGCGUGGGGAGCGAACA